UCCCAGUUAGUACAAUGGUUAGUAUAGGGCACUCUCACCCGACCGUUGUAUCAAUACGGUUACGUACUGCCCAGAUCAGGGUUCGAUUCCCUGGCCGGGAA
This 101-nucleotide transfer RNA is filed under the name Sporisorium reilianum f. sp. reilianum. RNAcentral describes it as "transfer RNA-Glu(CTC)". It matches the Rfam family "tRNA". From Rfam's summary of the family: Transfer RNA (tRNA) molecules are approximately 80 nucleotides in length. Their secondary structure includes four short double-helical elements and three loops (D, anti-codon, and T loops). Further hydrogen bonds mediate the characteristic L-shaped molecular structure. tRNAs have two regions of fundamental functional importance: the anti-codon, which is responsible for specific mRNA codon recognition, and the 3' end, to which the tRNAs corresponding amino acid is attached (by aminoacyl-tRNA synthetases). tRNAs cope with the degeneracy of the genetic code in two manners: having more than one tRNA (with a specific anti-codon) for a particular amino acid; and 'wobble' base-pairing, i.e. permitting non-standard base-pairing at the 3rd anti-codon position. Lineage: Eukaryota; Fungi; Basidiomycota; Ustilaginomycetes; Ustilaginales; Ustilaginaceae. The record is from RNAcentral.